UGUGCUACCAGGAGCUCAUUCAGGGUCACUGUCUUAGCCUGUACUUUGCAUGUAGGAGCAGCAUGCAAAGGUUUGGGGAGCCAGGGCUUCUGUGGAGUCAAAGCUUGAAUAGAGGAGAAAAGGGGGUGUCUGUUAUUUUACACGCCCCACACUAUCUGUUCUAAAGAGAGAAGAGCAAUAUGCUGUGAUGUGACAGACUGCUAGAAUCAACAGCUGAAUUUUUAAAUAAUACAGAAGGAUGAAGAGCCUCAAUGUUUGACUCUUGGGGAGCUGUGGGUGGCAGUAGCUGCUGUUGGGAGGAGGAUUUGGGUUCAUCCCACCUGAGGUUUGACAUUUAUUCCAUGGGAUGGGACAGCAUUCCCUGUGGGCUCACUCUGCAGGAAGCAGAGACCGAGGUGCACAUCUGGGUUGCUAUUCAGCUCACCUCAGCUAUUUCUCCCUCUGCAGUUUGAAGGGUGCUGUGUGUGGGCUGUGGGCAUUUAACACUUUAAAUUGAUGCUUAAUAUUUAGGUGGGAUGCAAACGUGCUUAGGUGCACAAUCAGUUCUUCAGUGCCCUGCUAUGAUCUGCUGAUGUGAAAGGCUUAGUUAUAGACUGUGCUUAUUGUGGCUACAAAUAAUGCUUUGAGGCUUCCCAAAAUUCUAUUGUUUUAAUACAGCAGUUGGCAAUGGCUGAAAUUCCUCUCCCUACUUUUUCCCAAGACAGUGAAGGGAAGGAGAAAAGCAGAAAAGGAAACACAAUAAAAUGUCCCUGUGGUAUUUUUUUCUAUUAUAUACCUGCCAAAACCUGUAAUGGUGUGUUAAGACAAAAGGCUGAGCCCUCGGUGUUGUCCAAGGGAAAAAGCACAGAAAACUCUAUUAAACCCUCUGUAUUGCAUUGACCUUUGGUUUGCUCCCAUCUUUUUCUGGUUUCUGUGAUGUGGCACACAAUAUCUGUGGGAAAGGGUGGGUACUGCAGAUCCUGCUUGAUUUCAGCUCAGAGGUUUGAGGCACACAGGUAGCACAUGGAGUGAAACCAUCAGGGCAGAUGGAAAUCUCAUUUCUGUGCUGGUAUUCUCCAUAACACCUAAGUGUUGGCUUUGUCCUGCUCUUGGGCUGCUCCUUUGAGGAGCCAGUACACCCCUGACCUGCAUCUGCUGGCUCCUCAGCCCUCCACUGAAGGUGCAGUUUGCUCAUGCUGCGCAUCAGGGAGCCUGGAGCUGCUCACAGCUGAUGGAAGAGCAAGAAAAAUGUUUCUUCGACCUGGUUUUUCUUCCCCCCUUUGUUAUCAGGAAGAACAAGGGACUAGAAACUUCUGUGAAUUCUUCUUGAGGAAGAAGCUCAAAAGGAGUUUGGAAAGCAUGUUAAUCCUCAUUGCUGUCUGGAUGAGGCACUGAAUUUCUGCUGAGACUUGGGCAUGGUGCCCUGUGGUGACAGGAGCUGUGCUUCUGCUCCUGGGGAGCUCUAUCAGACACCCCUCAGAGUAAAGCAGAAAGGAAAGAGGGUUUGUCCAUUCUGUCAGCAUCAGAGGAGCUGGGAAGUGCAGAAUUGGAAUAAGGAAAAUGUCAAGUGUGAUACAAGGACCCUUAAUGUAAGAGAAUCACAGAAUCACAGAGUGAACUGGGUUGGAAAAGACAUUUGAGAUCAUCAAGUCUGACCUAAGACCUCAUCAACUAAACCCUGGCACUGAGUGCCAUGUCCACGUUCUUUUUAAACUGUUCUGUUUGGAAAUAAACUUUUGCUUUAAAACUUUUGACUUGUGGGUGAAACACUGGAAUUAUGGAGCUGACUGGAAAAAAUUCCAAAUUUAGAAAUAAAAGCUGUUUUCUGGGUUUAAACCCACUUACUGCUCUGAUAUGGAGCAUUUUCAAGUUAUCUUUGCAGUCACAGGCGACAGAAUACUUUUGCCAGUGCUUAGACAUGGAAGCAAUGCAUGAUGCUGGGAUGCAUGGAAGCUCCUGGGAAUUGUGGCAGUAUGGGUUUGUUUAUAUUUACAAAUUAGUUGGACUUGUUCUUGGCACUUGUUUGGAUUUAGCUUAAGAAUAAUCCAUAUUGUCCAAAUAACUUCCUAAUAAUAAAAACCCACAGUCACUGUCAGAGCUAAAUUCCAAUAUUUCACUGCAAAGUAGCUGGAGAAGUAGCUAUUGCCUUAAAUAAAAAUCACAUUUUCCCAAACCAAGCUGUAAGCAGUGAGAAUUGUUGAUUUUCAAGACUUUUAAAACUGAGCCAAUAAAAUAUGCUGAAUCUUACCUUAUCUACACUUUGAAUACCAAAAAGCAUUGACAACUCU
Molecule: long non-coding RNA, 2267 nt
Organism: Poecile atricapillus (Black-capped chickadee)
Lineage: Eukaryota; Metazoa; Chordata; Aves; Passeriformes; Paridae
Exons: 3
Source: RefSeq, a predicted model, not a curated record